UAGGGAAUCUUUCGCAAUGGACGAAAGCCUGACGGAGCAACGCCGCGUGAGUGAUGAAGGUCUUAGGAUCGUAAAACUCUGUCGCUAGGGAAGAACAAGUAUCGGAGCAACUGCCGGUACCUGGAUGGUACCUAACCAGAAAGCCACGGCUAACUACGUGUCAGCAGCCGCGGUAAUACGUAGGUGGUAAGCGUUGUCCGGAAUGAUUGGGCGUAAAGCGCGCGCAGGUGGUUACUUAAGUCUGAUGUGAAAGCCCACGGCUCAACCGUGGAGUGGCAUUGGAAACUGACGAGCUUGAGUGCGGAAGAGGAAAGUGGAAUUCCGAGUGUAGCGGUGAAAUGCGUAGAGAUUUGGAGGAACACCAGUGGCGAAGGCGACAUUCUGGUCUGUAACUGACACUGAGGCGCGAAAGCGUGGGGAGCAAACAGG
RNAcentral lists this ribosomal RNA (429 nucleotides) under Bacillota bacterium. RNAcentral's name for it is "Firmicutes bacterium partial 16S ribosomal RNA". It matches the Rfam family "Bacterial small subunit ribosomal RNA", at positions 355 to 776 of the family's 1533-position model. Lineage: Bacteria; Bacillati; Bacillota. The record is from RNAcentral.